This is a long non-coding RNA of Myripristis murdjan (pinecone soldierfish), 399 nucleotides long. RefSeq lists it as uncharacterized. NCBI's taxonomy places the organism in Eukaryota, Metazoa, Chordata, Actinopteri, Holocentriformes, Holocentridae. The record is from RefSeq and is a predicted model, not a curated record. The transcript is spliced from 3 exons.
GUGUGUCUGAGGUUGUUAGUUAUAGAGAGUGGUUGGGGCGUUUAGAGUCGGCGCUCCUCCCCCUUCACACCAGCUGUGAAAUGCCUGGCUUGUCUGAGGAAUGAGAGACCCUGGAGGGCCAAGGGUCCUGAACAAAUGAGCUCCCGUAAAACUCUACUUAUACAGGGACAGGACACAAUGCAGACAAGCAGCCGCCCAAAGCAGCCUUCAUGCUAACACCAAACAGAAGUGGGAAUCCGAUGAGAACAAUUAUGAUCUUCCCAAAAUGGUGCAGUGUUACGCUGAGCACCCUGUAAGCCAUGCUCACGGUGACCACCCCGCCCACAAUGCAGGACAGCCCCCUGCUGGGUUGAGGCAGAGCUCCAACGUAGGCGAUGGUGUGGCAGAUCCGAGAGGCGG